RNAcentral lists this ribosomal RNA (265 nucleotides) under uncultured archaeon. RNAcentral describes it as "partial 16S ribosomal RNA". It matches the Rfam family "Archaeal small subunit ribosomal RNA", at positions 717 to 982 of the family's 1478-position model. The record is from RNAcentral.
ACACGACUACAUUAGAUACCCCGGUAGUCCUAGCCGUAAACGAUACUCGCUAGGUGUCGGCCACGGUGCGACCGUUGUCGGUGCCGUAGGGAAGCCGUGAAGCGAGCCACCUGGGAAGUACGGCCGCAAGGCUGAAACUUAAAGGAAUUGGCGGGGGAGCACAACAACGGGUGGAGCUUGCGGUUUAAUUGGAUUCAACGCCGGAAAUCUUACCGGGACCGACAGCAACAUGAAGGCCAAGCUGAAGACUUUGCCGGAUUAGCCG